Long non-coding RNA from Humulus lupulus (European hop), 547 nucleotides. RefSeq lists it as uncharacterized. Lineage: Eukaryota; Viridiplantae; Streptophyta; Magnoliopsida; Rosales; Cannabaceae. The record is from RefSeq and is a predicted model, not a curated record. The transcript has 3 exons.
UUUGAGUGCUUAGUAUGAAAGGUGGCAACCAAGGGUGAGGAUAUUAUUGGCUUGUACAGAGUUCAUAUAAUAUUGUCUUAGAUUUAAUUUUAUUUACCUUUGAAGAUCUUUGAGCAGGCACGAUAUAAGGUCUAGCCUGAUCCUACUGUGGAUGAAGUGAAGAAACUUUGUAAUACAUGUCGCCGAUAUGCCAAGUCUAAGAGGGUCCUAUUUCAUUAUAAUGGCCAUGGUGUGCCUAAGCCGACUUCUAGUGGUGAAAUUUGGGUUUUCAAUAAGAGUUAUACAGAGUAUAUCCCUUUGCCAAUCAGUGACCUUGAUUCCUGGUUGAAGACACCCUCCAUAUAUGUUUUUGAUUGCUCUGCGGCUGGGAAUAUUGUGAAUGCUUUUAUUGAGCUUCAUGAUUGGGUUGCUUCUAGCUCCUCUGGAUCCACAAGGGAUUGCAUUCUACUUGGAGCAUGUGAAGCACAUGAGACUCUUCCACAAAGUGCUGAAUUUCCUACAUAUGUGUUUACGUCUUGUCUCACAACACCUAUUAAGAUGGCUUUGA